RNAcentral lists this long non-coding RNA (483 nucleotides) under Mytilus galloprovincialis (Mediterranean mussel). The record is from RNAcentral. Lineage: Eukaryota; Metazoa; Mollusca; Bivalvia; Mytilida; Mytilidae.
CCAGGGCCGUAACUACCUAUGAGGCAGGCGAGGCAACUGCCUCCCCUAAAUUUUCUACACCAAUUUUUUUUUUUUUUUUUUUUUUAAAGUAAUAAAAUAAAAUAUUGACAAUAUGUAAACUAAAAACUUGAAUUUUUAUUAUAAACAACACACGUUUACAGUUUCAACAGUGUUAUCAUGAUACGUGAUAUAUCUGUUAUUCCCCGGAUUUUUGAUCGAAAGUGAACCAUUUCGGUAUUUGUUGUAGUUUUUUUUUCGAGUGGCCAUCCAUCUGAACUAUUCAUUAGUUUUUUUUUUACCUAUGUCGUACGAGAACGCAUAUAAAACUUAGCUUUCGACAAUUUUAAAUAAAACUUAACUAAUCACAUUUAUUUAGGGGCUCAAUUAAGCAGAGGAAGUUCCCUUUGUAUUGUGAAUCUUUUAUGAUAUCGGAACUUCGUUACCGACUGAAUCAGUUUUUAACGUGUCUAAUCAGAAAGUACG